UUUGCCGGAAAAUUACGUAAUUUUCCGUGAUCACAUUUUUCUAUUAUCUUUUUUCCUUACAUACAUCAAAUCGCUACGGUAAUUUUUCUACAGAAAAUCCUAGACAAUGCUUAAAUAUCAGAAAAUCCAAACACAACCUUAUAUAUCUAUAUCAGGAUCGAGGUAUAGAUCCACAAAACACAAUAAUGUGUUUAAGAACUGAAAAACUUGAAUUCUAAUUUAGGGGCUACAAUAAAGUUUUAGAAAUGAGGAUUGUGAAGAAAAAACUUUACCACAUGCACCGAUUCUUAGUCCAGAAUCUCUUCAAAGAAAUCGAGCUUUAGGAACUUCUGGUCGUAUUCGAUUUCACUCGACCAUUUGAAGCUUUUCAUGUUUCACAAAGUGAGACUUGAUCGACCUCCCAUAUUCCAAACCAAGGGCUCUUUUAUCACCCCAUAGAAUUCAUAAAGGACCACAUUCAAGAAAAUCAAGAUCUCGUAAUCAUACUUUUUAGAAAUUGUGAUCUCCAAUUUUUCUCAUACAGGAAGCAGCCUAGAUUUUGAAGCAUCAAAGAAGCUUGGAAAGAUGGAGAAGAAAAAGAGCUGAUGUGGCAUCAUUUGAGAGGCUGGAGUACAAUCAAUAAGUAGAGAAUAGAGAAGAAGAAUGGAAAACAAGAAACGUUGAAAAUGACAUGGUAAAUAUUUUGAAGAUGAAUGGUGG
Molecule: long non-coding RNA, 699 nt
Filed under: Coffea arabica (coffee)
Lineage: Eukaryota; Viridiplantae; Streptophyta; Magnoliopsida; Gentianales; Rubiaceae
Description: long non-coding RNA (CARA_LNC001389)
Source: RNAcentral